CAAACAGAUGAGGACGGUAAUAAUCCAGAGUACUCUCACUGCAGUUGUUCAUGUCGUUCAUCUUCCACGAGCUCUGUUCUGCACUUCUCCUGGACAGUUCUUUGUUGUGGACCAAACGUGGAUGAUCCAAGGAAUUUUGGUUUCGGGAUUAAACUGGCAACAUAACAUCUGACAGACCGACUGCUCAAGAAGCCUAUGACGUCAACACGGCUUGACAGGAAGUGACUAUGAGGGUUCGGCAACCUGUGGUGGCACUUGAGCAACGGCCCUCUUCUCUUCUACAACUCCUGGCUUCAUUGUCAACUUACCUCACUCCCAGGUGGUCACCACUUCAGUCCAUCGACUUGCAGGCUUGGCUCCAGCUUUAAGAUCUAAGGUGGACCAUAGGUCUCAUAGAAUGGGCCGUACAGUAGGCACUAACAAAAAUGACCAUGGUCUUAGUCUUUUUUCUUCUUUGGAUUUGGUACCAUGCUAAUACCAUGGUAUUCUUUAAAGCAUCUUGAAGGACUCCGUAAAUAUCAUGGUACAUCAAUCAUUAAGUAUCUUAAUAUAUACCAGAAGUAUUCAAUUAAAGUUCCAAGAGGUCUGGUCUCUACAUUUCCUUCCCAGCAAUUGUCUUUCAAUCAUAACUUAAAUGAUUUCAGUAGCUAAUAUAGCUUGUACAGCUAUGAAAUGAUAUAAGCAAUGUGCAUUUUCUGUAAUUUCUUUCUUUUGUAAAUUUCCAAGUUGGCAGCAAUAAAAGAAAGAAACCAUAAAUCCUAAAUAGUCAUAAUAGUCU
Myxocyprinus asiaticus (Chinese sucker) is the source of this 778-nucleotide long non-coding RNA. RefSeq lists it as uncharacterized. The record is from RefSeq and is a predicted model, not a curated record. Lineage: Eukaryota; Metazoa; Chordata; Actinopteri; Cypriniformes; Catostomidae. The transcript is spliced from 3 exons.